This 790-nucleotide long non-coding RNA is filed under the name Dasypus novemcinctus (nine-banded armadillo). RNAcentral's name for it is "lncRNA (ENSDNOG00000050283.1)". Lineage: Eukaryota; Metazoa; Chordata; Mammalia; Cingulata; Dasypodidae. The record is from RNAcentral.
AUGGCAGAGUUGGAUCCACAAACUUUAAAUGGGCAUAAUGAACAACUCCUCCUCAUGUUGAUGAGAAGGUCGUGGGAGGAAAAAGAAAAGACUCGAGUGAGCUCUAACGUUCCACCUCUCACUCCACUAAAUCAUCUGGCCUCUUUGGUGGGUGGAGCAUCCCCUCUCAGCUCUCUGAGGACUUCCCCAACCCCAGCCUGCAGGAUCAGUGGGAGGCGGAGACUUGCCCCAGGAAGGAGGCCUGUGGUGUCAACAGGGCCACAAGUCAGAUACCUCCACCAGGAAAGGGGAGACAGACAAACAGAAGACCCAGAGGCUGCCACCUGCUUUGAGGACUCCAAGAUGUCACGAGAAGAACAUGCCUGCUCAUCCCGGGAGGAUGAAAGCACCUGAAGCAGACUUGGACCCAAGUCCAGCCCAGCCUAGGUCAGCUGAACCGCGACAACUUGCAGAUACUUGAAUGAAAAGAAAUAAUUACUAUAUGAAGCCACUGAGUUUGGGGGUGAUUUGUUACAUAGCAUUUUCCUGGCUAUAGCUAACUGAUAUAAGCCCCCUUAAUCUUUUCCGGUCUUAAUCUAGCCAUGGGCAUACCAAUACAGAGACGGAGUUGGGGGCGGGGGAAGAAGAAAAGAAAAGCAAAUUUAAUUUUUAAAAAAUGCUUCCAACACUGGAAUGACUGAUUUGACUUUGUUAUGUAAAUCAAGUCCAAUCAUAGCCUUUCAUGUGCUAAAUGAAAACUCAAGGCCCUUAAUGCUAAAAAGCAGCAGCAUAUGGUUAACAAAUAAGAGAG